UAGCAAAGCUAAGCGCCAUGCACCUUUUACCGGGGACGUGAACAGCAGGAAGGUCUGCUGCCGGUGGAAAGGUUAACGAGGUGGAGAGAGAAUCGAGAAAUUCGGCGGGUGCUCUCCCAUGCUGUCCGGGCGUGUUACAUACUGGAAAAUAUGCGGGUAACUGCAAAACAAAGCCAGCGUGACCGGAUGAA
This is a regulatory RNA element of 191 nucleotides. It matches the Rfam family "glmS glucosamine-6-phosphate activated ribozyme aptamer". Rfam says of the family: This entry contains a glucosamine-6-phosphate activated ribozyme that is found in the mRNA for GlmS. GlmS is an enzyme that uses fructose-6-phosphate and glutamine to generate glucosamine-6-phosphate. The record is from Rfam.